UCUGGUGACGAUGGCGGAGGGGCUACACCUGUUCCCAUCCCGAACACAGCAGUUAAGUCCUCCAGCGUCGAUGGUACUUGGGGCGUUGGCCCCUGGGAGAGUAGAACGUUGCCAGAU
Molecule: ribosomal RNA, 117 nt
Filed under: Heliorestis acidaminivorans
Lineage: Bacteria; Bacillati; Bacillota; Clostridia; Eubacteriales; Heliobacteriaceae
Source: RNAcentral